AAUCAUUCAAACGGGAUCCCUCUAUUUCCAUUCACUUCAGGACCUUUGGGUGGGGAUUUGGAAUCUGGUUUACUACUCUUAAUUUCGUUUACCACGUUUGGAGAUUUUUCCGAGCCAAACAUCUUGUUGUACAGGGAAAAAUUCGAAGCAUCAAUCUGACGACCAGCAUCUACCAAUUGCUGCAAAGUCGUGGUGGGCUUCCAUAGCAGGUAUUUCUUGUAGUCACCACGCAUAUUACGGGGUAUGUUAGCAUACUCUACACGUGGUUUGAACACGGCAACAGCGGUAGCGCGUAGCGCGAUUAACUGGGUGUAACACCUAGCUGUUACAAUUCCUUGGGUCGGGCGCGAGUUUCUAGGCAACUGAUCGUCGUUAGCAACCACAUAUCCUAGUUGUGUUUGGGAACCGACUUCUGUUUGUAUGGGUCCGAUAACCGAGGGUAUCUUAGCGCCAGCAACUUUCGUUGAGACGUGUCUAAGCAACUCGAUGCAAAAAGGGAUCCCAUUAAAGUUCCGUCCGAACACUAUGUCAGUUAAAUCCUGAACUUCUCCGUCGUAAGCAGCUUCGAUUCCUAAUUCGGUGUAAAUGUUACGUACUUCUGGCGCAAUGGGAAUACUCCUGGGGAUGUAUCCAAGUAAUGCGCGUGUGGGUUGAAGAGCGUGCAGGUCAGCAGCUGGAGUAAUUCCAACCGGCAGUCGCCACAUCUCGACUCCUGGAGGGUUCGCAGCUUCAUGAAGCACGGAAUAGGCGGCAACGCCUGGGGACGGUGUACUACCAUAAAUAUGGUGGGUGUCUCCAUCGACGAGGCCAAAGAAUCCGGCUAUACCAUUGACGGCGUUCUCGUUAAUUUCGGGAACGCUAACAUGCCAUUUACGAGAAUUCGGGUCUCUGACCGGACCGAUAGCUGAUAAGUACACAGCAAUAGCCUUCGGAAUACAGAUUCCAGUUGGCAUAUGUGACUUAAAGUCAAUAUAAGCGGUCAGAGGGAUCUCGUUCUGGUGAGCUCGUACAAAGUACAAUCUCUCCCAUAGCAACAUCGUACAAUAGUAGGUCCACAUUGCUUCGCUAACAUUACGAAUCCAAUAUCUAUCCUGAGACAUCAUGUCUCGGUAAAUGGAUUCCACCAGAUCAAAGUACCCGGAAUAAUUAAGACGAAGUUCCGGUACUCGUUUUAGAAACCCCAACGCCGAAAGAUCAGCGACACUGAAAGCGUCAAUGUCACACGGAUCGUUUUUUGGCGUGGUGAAGCUCGUAGAAAGAUUUUUUGGAGUAAAAUCUGGCUCUCCUUCUACGUUUGGCAUUCGACGGAUCCUAGGAUCCGCUUGACGAGAGGGCUCAUCUCGAGAGAUUGGCCCUUUGCGCGGUUUAAAGGUGAAUUUCCUUUUGGUUUUAGGCUCUGAAAACGCCGCGGAAGCGGCGGCUUUAUUAUCAAUUGGGUUUUCCAUGUUGACAAUAAGAGGCGACUAUCCAGUCUUUUCCUAAUCACGAAUGUAAAAAGGGGGGGCCAAUUGUUACUACCGAUGACGCCCACGCGUCUAUGGCAUGGACGUCCUCACGUCCCGAGCUAGCUCACCUGUAAUUCUGCCUCUCAGGGUCGGCACACGUGUUUGGGGAAUACUCACCGUAACAGACCUCGAUCGUUCUCAACCUGUAAAUCUUUCUUUCGGUUUUACAAAUUCUAAACACCAAGCUUUUCCAUUUAAAAUAUAAUCUAACUCUACUCAAUCUUUUGGGGGGGGGGGGGGGGGUUAAUUUGAUCUGAUUUUGAUUAUUCUUGGUCUAGCUCACUGCUCGAGUUACCUUGACCUUGAAGGCUGGAACCGAUGACUGCCGGAUCUUUCUGGAGCGCUUCACCCGUACCAGGGCUGGGUUUCGUUCCAAAACGUGGAACGAGGUGCUGGGCUGUGUAUAACGAAUGGCCACGGUCGUUUCGUGACGUUAUGACCGGCUCAGUGCACCUGGGAGAGACGGUUCACUUCACUACGACACUAUCUUGUUCACGUACUUGACCGGAUAACGCACUUUACGGACAGUCUAUGUAGUCGAUUCAAGACUUGCACACCGGAUUUUCACUAUAGCUGGCCCCAACGUGGCGAUAAGGGGGUCCAGUCUACUCGAAUAAUCUACCGGAUGGGUGAUAUGAUCACUAUACACACAACAGCGGUAGCGCGUAGCGCGAUUAACUGGGUGUAACACCUAGCUGUUACAAUUCCUUGGGUCGGGCGCGAGUUUCUAGGCAACUGAUCGUCGUUAGCAACCACAUAUCCUAGUUGUGUUUGGGAACCGACUUCUGUUUCUAUGGGUCCGAUAACCGAGGGUAUCUUAGCGCCAGCAACUUUCGUUGAGACGUGUCUAAGCAACUCGAUGCAAAAAGGGAUCCCAUUAAAGUUCCGUCCGAACACUAUGUCAGUUAAAUUCUGAACUUCUCCGUCGUAAGCAGCUUCGAUUCCUAAUUCGGUGUAAAUGUUACGUACUUCUGGCGUAAUGGGAAUACUCCUGGGGAUGUAUCCAAGUAAUGCGCGUGUGGGUUGAAGAGCGUGCAGGUCAGCAGCUGGAGUAAUUCCAACCGGCAGUCGCCACAUCUCGACUCCUGGAGGGUUCGCAGCUUCAUGAAGCACGGAAUAGGCGGCAACGCCUGGGGACGGUGUACUACCAUAAAUAUGGUGGGUGUCUCCAUCGACGAGGCCAAAGAAUCCGGCUAUACCAUUGACGGCGUUCUCGUUAAUUUCGGGAACGCUAACAUGCCAUUUACGAGAAUUCGGGUCUCUGACCGGACCGAUAGCUGAUAAGUACACAGCAAUAGCCUUCGGAAUACAGAUUCCAGUUGGCAUAUGUGACUUAAAGUCAAUAUAAGCGGUCAGAGGGAUCUCGUUCUGGUGA
This 2880-nucleotide long non-coding RNA is filed under the name Aedes aegypti (yellow fever mosquito). RNAcentral describes it as "lncRNA AAEL025256". The record is from RNAcentral. Lineage: Eukaryota; Metazoa; Arthropoda; Insecta; Diptera; Culicidae.